AGAAUCAACGCUGGCGGCGUGCCUAACACAUGCAAGUCGAACGCGGUUACCCCGCAAGGGGUAACUGAGUGGCAGACGGGUGAGUAACGCGUGGGUGACCUACCUUCGAGUGGGGGAUAACGUUUCGAAAGGAACGCUAAUACCGCAUGACAUCCUGCCUUUGGACAGGCGGAGAUCAAAGCCGGGGAUCGUAAGACCUGGCGCUUAAAGAGGGGCCCGCGUCCGAUUAGCUAGUUGGUGGGGUAACGGCUCACCAAGGCGACGAUCGGUA
Molecule: ribosomal RNA, 271 nt
Filed under: uncultured bacterium
Lineage: Bacteria
Description: partial small subunit ribosomal RNA
Rfam family: Bacterial small subunit ribosomal RNA
Source: RNAcentral